GUCUAUGGCCACACUACCCUGAACAAGCCUGAUCCUGUCCGAUCUCGGAAGCCAAGCAGGGUUGGGCCUGGUUAGUACUUGGUUGAGAGACUGUCUAGAAAGACCAGGUGUUAUAGGCA
Ribosomal RNA from Pteropus vampyrus (large flying fox), 119 nucleotides. NCBI's taxonomy places the organism in Eukaryota, Metazoa, Chordata, Mammalia, Chiroptera, Pteropodidae. The record is from Ensembl.